Molecule: ribosomal RNA, 468 nt
Filed under: uncultured bacterium
Lineage: Bacteria
Description: partial 16S ribosomal RNA
Rfam family: Bacterial small subunit ribosomal RNA
Source: RNAcentral
GACGAACGCUGGCGGCGUGCUUAACACAUGCAAGUCGAACGGAAAGGCCCUGCUUUUGUGGGGUGCUCGAGUGGCGAACGGGUGAGUAACACGUGAGUAACCUGCCCUUGACUUUGGGAUAACUUCAGGAAACUGGGGCUAAUACCGGAUAGGAGCUCCUGCUGCAUGGUGGGGGGUGGAAAGUUUCGGCGGGUGGGGAUGGACUCGCGGCUUAUCAGCUUGUUGGUGGGGUAGUGGCUUACCAAGGCUUUGACGGGUAGCCGGCCUGAGAGGGUGACCGGCCACAUUGGGACUGCGAUACGGCCCAGACUCCUACGGGAGGCAGCAGUGGGGAAUAUUGCACAAUGGGCGGAAGCCUGAUGCAGCAACGCCGCGUGCGGGAUGACGGCCUUCGGGUUGUAAACCGCUUUCGCCUGUGACGAAGCGUGAGUGACGGUAAUGGGUAAAGAAGCACCGGCUAACUACGUG